This 538-nucleotide ribosomal RNA is filed under the name uncultured bacterium. RNAcentral describes it as "bacterial SSU rRNA". It matches the Rfam family "Bacterial small subunit ribosomal RNA", at positions 355 to 907 of the family's 1533-position model. The record is from RNAcentral.
UGGGGAAUAUUGCACAAUGGGCGCAAGCCUGAUGCAGCAACGCCGCGUGCGGGAAGAAGGCCCUAGGGUUGUAAACCGCUUUCAGCAGGGAAGAAAAUGACGGUACCUGCAGAAGAAGGUGCGGCCAACUACGUGCCAGCAGCCGCGGUGACACGUAGGCACCAAGCGUUGUCCGGAUUUAUUGGGCGUAAAGAGCUCGUAGGCGGUUCAGUAAGUCGGGUGUGAAAACUCUGGGCUCAACCCAGAGAGGCCACCCGAUACUGCUGUGACUUGAGUACGGUAGGGGAGCGGGGAAUUCCUGGUGUAGCGGUGAAAUGCGCAGAUAUCAGGAGGAACACCAGUGGCGAAGGCGCUGCUCUGGGCUGUAACUGACGCUGAGGAGCGAAAGCAUGGGUAGCAAACAGGAAUUAGAUACCCUGGUAGUCCAUGCCGUAAACGUUGGGCACUAGGUGUGGGUCUCAACCAACGAGAUCCGCGCCGUCGCUAACGCAUUAAGUGCCCCGCCUGGGAGUACGGUCGCAAGACUAAAACUCAAAGG